AGGGCAGUGCCGCUCUGCUCAGAGAUGCAGCUAAGUGGUGUGGCUGGGGUGGCAGAGGGGCCCACGGCGGCUCUAGAAACCCUAAGAAGCCCCGAGGGGGACAGGAGUGGGUGGUUGGAUGGAGCACUAGUGAGCGAGGGCUUGGAACGGAGCAGGGGCCAGGGGAGUCUGACUUCUUCACAAAGGACGCGGCCUUCCCUCUCUGCCUUCCUCCUUGUCUCGUUUUGAUUGUUUCUUGUAGUUACCAUCUUUUCCAGGCAAGGAAGAAGGCCAUGAGUCCGUCCAUAGUGGUCUGGAUGUCACUGGACUCCCUGGGUCUUACUGGCUCUUGCUAAGAGCAACUGAAGCCUCAGAAUCCAACAAAACCCCAGCCCGGAGCAGGAGCAGGAGGAGUGUGAGGCAGAGGGCGGAGCCUUGAAGCACCCUCCCCCAUAGCUUCUUCACUAUUCGCCCCAGAAGCGAGUCCGGGUACUUAGUGUAGAAGGAGGAGGGCUUGGGCAGGUUGCAUAAGUUUUGCUUCCACUCUGGGCCCCUUAACUGCUCCUUGUGCGGCAUAGGCAAGCACGGUGAUUUCUCUGGUUCCCUCGUCUGCAAACUGUGAGUAGUGAGCGGACUGGUUACCUAACGCUGCAGAAGGAACUCCUCGACACUCAGCAGCUGAAACUCACACACAGUGGUUACCUUAAUUCCUGGGGGCUGGGGUUCGGGCCCAACUCAGGCAAGCCCCUGCUGGACUCUCACCGAGCUGCUGCCCCAGUAGAAGGCCACACGGGAGAAGAGUCCAUAGGACUCAGCUUCUCAAAGGCUGUGAGACACAAGCCAUCAUGCCGAGUCCCUCAGAGGGCCCAGGAGAGGACCGAAGGACAUGAGGACCCUUGGCAACCAGAACACAGUGCUACUGGUUUUUUAGGGAACUGCUAAAAAUUGCCAGAGGGCUUAGCCUGGAGCUGGUGCCUGGCACCUGCUCAGUACACCGAUGUCCUUGUGAGAAAGCCAGGCUGGACCAAGACAAAACAGAAACCAAGGCUGCUCGCCAGUUCUACCUGUUGGCUCAACGCCCCUGGGAGAGUCCACAUGCCACUUCUCUAUCUCCAAUCUGGUCCAGCCCCUCCCCCUCCCUUGAACCCCACUGAACAUCACCUUUUUUCUUUCACCCUAGACAGGUCUACAGCGUUUUGAAGUUUACAGAUUUCUUAGAAAUGACAACGAAGGGUGUGGCUCAAGAUGUGAGCUCUCAGCUGCUGCCCCAGAUGCCUGCCAUCUGUUAUCCUGGUUCUGCUGCCGCGGACUCUGAUCCUCUGGAACUGUAAACUCCAAAUAAACUUUUUUAAAAAUA
Molecule: non-coding RNA, 1336 nt
Organism: Peromyscus maniculatus bairdii (prairie deer mouse)
Lineage: Eukaryota; Metazoa; Chordata; Mammalia; Rodentia; Cricetidae
Source: RefSeq, a predicted model, not a curated record